Molecule: long non-coding RNA, 808 nt
Organism: Sphaeramia orbicularis (orbiculate cardinalfish)
Lineage: Eukaryota; Metazoa; Chordata; Actinopteri; Kurtiformes; Apogonidae
Exons: 3
Source: RefSeq, a predicted model, not a curated record
AUUGUGUUACUAAUUCAGCCAUGUUUCAGUGUUUGUUGCUGCUACAGAAGUUGUUAGUUGACUCGCAUUGACGGUACUGAAGGUCCAAGCAGACGAGACCUGAAAGUACUGAACAAUUGAGCACGUAGUUUGUUUUUUUUAUUACAUAGGAAAGGGAAUUUAAAUGUUAAAUACAGUUGUUGCAAUGUUAUACUUUUAAAAAUUUUUUAAAUGUUUUAGGUUCUAAUAAUGUUUUUAAUUUAAAAUAAUUUGUGAGAAACAAAGUGGAAAGACUUGGAAUCAAAUGUAGGAUGAAAUAUUUGGGUCAGCUGACUUCUUAUAUUUUAAGUCCAGAGACUGAAAUGUGCUUGAAUAGUGCUGUUUUAUCAGAAAGAAGAGUCUGUUAAUCACUGAGGAGGUUUUAAUGUAAAAUGAUGCAUGUGGACUUCAGCUCCUGAACCAGGUUUGGAUAUUUCUGCUGGAUCCCUUGUCACUGUGGCUGCGAAUGUGAUAAAACUGUUUUAUUCAAACAGACAAAUCAAAUUUGAACUGUACAUUUUCUCCUUGAGUCUUGAGUAAAUCCACUGAGUACAAACACUUGUCUUUUCAUGGGUUUUAUUUGUAAAUAAAAUUCUUCCUUAAUCUAAUGAUGAAAUGGCACAGUUUAAAUGCUUUAAUUUGGCUACAGUGAUAACGGAGUUAAAUUAAGUUAAUCUUUUGCUUUCAUCCUUUUCUACUUUAUCAAACAUGAUACCCUGAUAUUUGAAAUGUGGUUUUCUGUACCAUCUCAAGAGUUUACUGUGUAAUUGGCACAUGGAGUGAUUGUCUA